RNAcentral lists this ribosomal RNA (253 nucleotides) under uncultured bacterium. Its description in RNAcentral is "partial 16S ribosomal RNA". It matches the Rfam family "Bacterial small subunit ribosomal RNA", at positions 524 to 776 of the family's 1533-position model. The record is from RNAcentral.
UACAGAGGUCUCAAGCGUUGUUCGGAUUCAUUGGGCGUAAAGGGUGUGUAGGUGGCGCCGUAAGUGGGGUGUGAAAUUUCGGAGCUUAACUCCGAAACUGCAUUCCAUACUGCGGUGCUUGAGGACUGGAGAGGAGACUGGAAUUCAUGGUGUAGCAGUGAAAUGCGUAGAGAUCAUGAGGAAGACCAGUGGCGAAGGCGGGUCUCUGGACAGUUCCUGACACUGAGGCACGAAGGCCAGGGGAGCAAACGGG